This 253-nucleotide ribosomal RNA is filed under the name uncultured bacterium. RNAcentral's name for it is "partial 16S ribosomal RNA". It matches the Rfam family "Bacterial small subunit ribosomal RNA", at positions 524 to 776 of the family's 1533-position model. The record is from RNAcentral.
UACGGAGGGUGCAAACGUUGCUCGGAAUCAUUGGGCGUAAAGCGCACGUAGGCGGCCUGUUAAGUCGGGUGUGAAAGCCCUGGGCUCAACCCAGGAAGUGCACUCGAAACUGACAGGCUUGAAUAUGGAAGAGGGUCGCGGAAUUCCCGGUGUAGAGGUGAAAUUCGUAGAUAUCGGGAGGAACACCAGUGGCGAAGGCGGCGACCUGGGCCAAUAUUGACGCUGAGGCGCGAAAGCUAGGGGAGCAAACGGG